GGUUAUUGCUGGAUGCGUGGCUUGAAGCAUCAUUCUUACACAAACACUUUGAUUAAUCUCUCAAGUGCGAGUGUGUGUGUAUCUCAUUAAGUGGAAUUUGUAUCGUCAGUGCAGGCGCUUUCGAAUCUGUGGUGGUGUUUGGUGGCAUAUUUCCCGAAGGGCAGUUUGGGAUGAAGGCAACAGUGGGCAUGAGCGGGUCAACAGUGGUCAAAGUUGGCUACAGGGUCUUUUACGACGAUCGAGACCAUCAAAAAGAUUUUGAACAGAGAAGAAUUAGGUUGCUUGCUUUGUACUCGGCUAUUCUUGUCCACUGUUGCGGAUGGCAUUAUCAAAUAUCAAGUCAUCGAAGUCGAUUGCACAAGGAAAGGACCUGCAAAACCUAAAAAGUUAAAGGUCCAACACGCUGGAGCUUGAGGUUCCUAUGCCUACCACGGCUAAGCUGCUUUUAAAGCUGGAGAGUAUGGUCUUGGAAAUUAGUGAAAGACAAAACAUAAAAUACACAAGGGAUUAAGAAGAUGGAGACGACAUCAAAAAUUAAUGAAAGGGAGAUUUCCUAGAUUCUUUGAGAUGUCACAACUAUAUCUACCAAACCCGCUUCGUUUGGAGCUAAUUCUUAAUGUCUUCCGAAACGCCUUUCAAGAACACUUACCCUCUCAUGCCCCAUGAGAUGUGCAGGAUACGAAAGUCUUGAUGUGGAGUGGAAGGGUUAUAACUUUCAUGAUAGCAACAAAUUUGUUGUACUUUGUAUUUAGUUAAAAGGAUUAGCAUCAAAUACAAAGGAUCCUAAUUGCAAGAAUUGUAAGAAUGAUUUAUAGAGUGAUAAGUAUCUAAUAACCUAAAAAACCCACU
This is a long non-coding RNA of Helianthus annuus (common sunflower), 849 nucleotides long. RefSeq lists it as uncharacterized. NCBI's taxonomy places the organism in Eukaryota, Viridiplantae, Streptophyta, Magnoliopsida, Asterales, Asteraceae. The record is from RefSeq and is a predicted model, not a curated record. The transcript has 3 exons.